UAACAACAGAUGAUGCCUAUCUAACUGUUUUAAAAAAGUAAUGGUUUCUGUCUAUCACUCUUGGGAUGGACCUGCGGUGCAUUAGCUAGUUGGUAGGGUAACGGCCUACCAAGGCGAUGAUGCAUAGCCGAGUUGAGAGACUGAUCGGCCACAUUGGGACUGAGACACGGCCCAAACUCCUACGGGAGGCAGCAGUAGGGAAUCUUCCACAAUGGACGCAAGUCUGAUGGAGCAACGCCGCGUGAGUGAAGAAGGGUUUCGGCUCGUAAAGCUCUGUUGUUGGUGAAGAAGGACAGGGGUAGUAACUGACCUUUGUUUGACGGUAAUCAAUUAGAAAGUCACGGCUAACUACGUGCCAGCAGCCGCGGUAAAU
This 373-nucleotide ribosomal RNA is filed under the name uncultured Lactobacillus sp. Its description in RNAcentral is "bacterial SSU rRNA". It matches the Rfam family "Bacterial small subunit ribosomal RNA", at positions 164 to 525 of the family's 1533-position model. The record is from RNAcentral. Lineage: Bacteria; Bacillati; Bacillota; Bacilli; Lactobacillales; Lactobacillaceae.